AGCGAACGCUGGCGGCAGGCUUAACACAUGCAAGUCGAACGGGCGUAGCAAUACGUCAGUGGCAGACGGGUGAGUAACGCGUGGGAACGUACCUUUUGGUUCGGAACAACCCAGGGAAACUUGGGCUAAUACCGGAUAAGCCCUUACGGGGAAAGAUUUAUCGCCAAAAGAUCGGCCCGCGUCUGAUUAGCUAGUUGGUGAGGUAACGGCUCACCAAGGCGACGAUCAGUAGCUGGUCUGAGAGGANGAUCAGCCACAUUGGGACUGAGACACGGCCCAAACUCCUACGGGAGGCAGCAGUGGGGAAUAUUGGGACAAUGGGCGCAAGGCCUGAUCCAGCCAUGCCGCGUGAGUGAUGAAGGCCCUAGGGUUGUAAAGCUC
Molecule: ribosomal RNA, 381 nt
Filed under: uncultured bacterium
Lineage: Bacteria
Description: bacterial SSU rRNA
Rfam family: Bacterial small subunit ribosomal RNA
Source: RNAcentral